Molecule: non-coding RNA, 97 nt
Filed under: Platyophrya macrostoma
Lineage: Eukaryota; Ciliophora; Colpodea; Cyrtolophosidida; Platyophryidae
Source: RNAcentral
GAAGAAGAUAUAAUGGAGAAGGAAGAAGAAAGGAGAAACAACGUUACACAUAUCAGACACCAAUUUCUCUCUCUGUAUAUCUCUCUCUCUCUCUCUC